Molecule: ribosomal RNA, 337 nt
Filed under: Ephippodontomorpha hirsuta
Lineage: Eukaryota; Metazoa; Mollusca; Bivalvia; Galeommatida; Galeommatidae
Description: partial 16S ribosomal RNA
Rfam family: Bacterial large subunit ribosomal RNA
Source: RNAcentral
UUAACGGCCGCAGUUAGUAGCUGUGCUAAGGUAGCGUAAUAAGUUGUCCUUUAAAUGAGGAAAGGUAUGAAUGGUUUGACGUAAAGGUUUCUGUCUCUAGUAAAAUUUAAGGAAAUUUUCUUCUUAGUGAAAAGCCUAAGAAUGAAUUAAAAGACGAGAAGACCCUUUUGAGCUUGACUUACUAGUUUUGUUGAAGGCUAGGAAAAUUGGUUGGGGCAACUAAGGAGCAAAAGAAGCCUCCUUUAUUGAUUUUGAAGAUCCAAAAUUUUUGAAAAAAGAAAAAGCUACCAUAGGGAUAACAGCGAUAUCUUCUCUGAGAGAACACNCUGCCNAGANG